This 463-nucleotide ribosomal RNA is filed under the name uncultured bacterium. RNAcentral describes it as "partial 16S ribosomal RNA". It matches the Rfam family "Bacterial small subunit ribosomal RNA", at positions 28 to 507 of the family's 1533-position model. The record is from RNAcentral.
GACGAACGCUGGCGGCGUGCUUAACACAUGCAAGUCGAACGGAAAGGCCUUUUCGGAGGUACUCGAGUGGCGAACGGGUGAGUAACACGUGGGUGAUCUGCCCUGCACUCUGGGAUAAGCCUGGGAAACUGGGUCUAAUACCGGAUAGGACCGCACUUUAGUGUGUGUGGUGGAAAGUUUUUUCGGUGUAGGAUGAGCCCGCGGCCUAUCAGCUUGUUGGUGGGGUAAUGGCCUACCAAGGCGGCGACGGGUAGCCGGACUGAGAGGUUGGUCGGCCACAUUGGGACUGAGAUACGGCCCAGACUCCUACGGGAGGCAGCAGUGGGGAAUAUUGCACAAUGGGCGCAAGCCGGAUGCAGCGACGCCGCGUGGGGGAUGACGGCCUUCGGGUUGUAAACUCCUUUCGCCAGGGACGAAGCGUUUUGUGACGGUACCUGGAGAAGAAGCACCGGCUAACUACGUG